GGAUAGAGGCCUACCAUGGUGGUAACGGGUAACGGGGUGUUAGGGCACGACACCGGAGAGGGAGCCUGAGAAACGGCUACCACAUCCAAGGAUGGCAGCAGGCGCGCAAAUUACCCAAUCCCGACACGGGGAGGUAGUGACAAUAAAUAACAAUACGGGGUUCUUUAGGAUCUCGUAAUUGGAAUGAGUACAAUUUAAAUCUCUUAACGAGGAACAAUUGGAGGGCAAGUCUGGUGCCAGCAGCCGCGGUAAUUCCAGCUCCAAUAGCGUAUAUUAAAGUUGUUGCAGUUAAAAAGCUCGUAGUUGAAUUUCGGGGUUAGUAGGUUGGUCAUGCCUCUGGUAUGUACUGGUCUCACUGAUUCCUCCUUCCUUAUGAACCGUAAUGCCAUUAAUUUGGUGUUGCGGGGAAUUUGGACUGUUACUUUGAAAAAAUUAGAGUGUUUAAAGCAAGCUAACGCUUGAAUACAUUAGCAUGGAAUAAUGAAAUAGGACGUUCGAUCUUAUUUUGUUGGUUUCUAGGAUUGACGUAAUGAUUAAUAGGGAUAGUUGGGGGCAUUAGUAUUCAAUUGUCAGAGGUGAAAUUCUUGGAUUUAUUGAAGACUAACUACUGCGAAAGCAUUUGCCAAGGAUGUUUUCAUUAAUCAAGAACGAAAGUUAGGGGAUCGAAGACGAUCAGAUACCGUCGUAGUCUUAACCAUAAACUAUGCCGACUAGGGAUCGGAUGA
This 725-nucleotide ribosomal RNA is filed under the name uncultured fungus. RNAcentral describes it as "SSU rRNA". It matches the Rfam family "Eukaryotic small subunit ribosomal RNA", at positions 331 to 1060 of the family's 1831-position model. The record is from RNAcentral. Lineage: Eukaryota; Fungi.